This 500-nucleotide ribosomal RNA is filed under the name uncultured bacterium. RNAcentral describes it as "partial 16S ribosomal RNA". It matches the Rfam family "Bacterial small subunit ribosomal RNA", at positions 28 to 523 of the family's 1533-position model. The record is from RNAcentral.
GUUGAACGCUGGCGGAAUGCUUUACACAUGCAAGUCGAACGGCAGCACGGACUUCGGUCUGGUGGCGAGUGGCGAACGGGUGAGUAAUGUAUCGGAACGUGCCCAGUCGUGGGGGAUAACGUAGUGAAAAUUACGCUAAUACCGCAUACGAUCUAUGGAUGAAAGCGGGGGAUCGCAAGACCUCGCGCGAUUGGAGCGGCCGAUAUCAGAUUAGGUAGUUGGUGGGGUAAAGGCCCACCAAGCCAACGAUCUGUAGCUGGUCUGAGAGGACGACCAGCCACACUGGAACUGAGACACGGUCCAGACUCCUACGGGAGGCAGCAGUGGGGAAUUUUGGACAAUGGGCGAAAGCCUGAUUCAGCCAUUCCGCGUGCAGGAUGAAGGCCCUCGGGUUGUAAACUGCUUUUGUACAGAACGAAAAGGUUUCUACUAAUACUAGGAGCUCAUGACGGUACUGUAAGGAUAAGCACCGGCUAACUACGUGCCAGCAGCCGCCGUAA